AGAAUCAACGCUGGCGGCGUGCCUAACACAUGCAAGUCGAACGCGGUUACUACUGCUUCGCAAGAAGUAGUAGUGACUGAGUGGCGAACGGGUGAGUAACACGUGGGUGACCUGCCUUCGAGUGGGGGAUAACGUUCCGAAAGGGACGCUAAUACCGCAUGACAUCCUGCCUUUGAAGAGGUGGAUAUUAAAGCUGGGGAUCGUAAGACCUGGCGCUUGAAGAGGGGCCCGCGUCCGAUUAGCUAGUUGGUGGGUAACGGCCUACCAAGGCGACGAUCGGU
This 281-nucleotide ribosomal RNA is filed under the name uncultured soil bacterium. RNAcentral's name for it is "partial 16S ribosomal RNA". It matches the Rfam family "Bacterial small subunit ribosomal RNA", at positions 26 to 284 of the family's 1533-position model. The record is from RNAcentral.